Molecule: ribosomal RNA, 491 nt
Filed under: bacterium ROME1140sh
Lineage: Bacteria
Description: bacterial SSU rRNA
Rfam family: Bacterial small subunit ribosomal RNA
Source: RNAcentral
UUAGAGUUUGAUCAUGGCUCAGAUUGAACGCUGGCGGCAGGCCUAACACAUGCAAGUCGAGCGGAUGAGUGGAGCUUGCUCCAUGAUUCAGCGGCGGACGGGUGAGUAAUGCCUAGGAAUCUGCCUGGUAGUGGGGGACAACGUUUCGAAAGGAACGCUAAUACCGCAUACGUCCUACGGGAGAAAGCAGGGGACCUUCGGGCCUUGCGCUAUCAGAUGAGCCUAGGUCGGAUUAGCUAGUUGGUGAGGUAAAGGCUCACCAAGGCGACGAUCCGUAACUGGUCUGAGAGGAUGAUCAGUCACACUGGAACUGAGACACGGUCCAGACUCCUACGGGAGGCAGCAGUGGGGAAUAUUGGACAAUGGGCGAAAGCCUGAUCCAGCCAUGCCGCGUGUGUGAAGAAGGUCUUCGGAUUGUAAAGCACUUUAAGUUGGGAGGAAGGGCAGUAAGUUAAUACCUUGCUGUUUUGACGUUACCGACAGAAUAAGCA